CAAAACAAGGUGUCAAAAGGCUUUGCUGCAUAUUACUAAUUUAAUUUUUUUAUCCCAAUAUUUUUGCAGGUGUGUGGAGGAGCAGGUCCUGUUCUCACUGUUGCUACUCCCACAUAGGUGGACUCUGUAACUGAUCAUGUGUGGGUGGGGCCUAUUGAAAUUAAGGAGAUUCUGCAAUAGUGCAGGGUUCUGUUUGUGAAAAGUCAAUUGCAAGAUCAGGACCCUACUGUGACUCCUUACUGUGCAUACUGUCAGUGUAUCAUUGAUUGUGCUGGAACCUGCCUUAUGGGAUAAUGUAAGUCCUGCUUUUCCUCCAAAUGUAUUUCAGAUGUGAAAUAAUCCUAAAACAUUUUUGAUUAGAAAAUAAAUAUCAUUUACAUGCAUUCUUUUAAUUAUGUUUUCUUGGCAGUACCAAAUAAUAUAUUCCUCAAAACUUCUUAAUGGCACUGAGGCUUUGUGGAUAGUUGGUCACAUGAUGAGAAAAUUCGGCUCACCUUCCCAGUACUUUGAGGAAGAGAAUGAAGGGGCACAGCUCUGUUCUGCCUGAGGUAACGCUGCUACAAAUAUUAUUUGGAAGAAAAGGAACUCUGAAUUGUCUUAUACUGUAACUAGCUCUGCACUCCUUGCUGCUCCUAACUCGCAUCAUUGAGCACCUGAUCUGCUUGUUUCUUUGGUUUGACCCUUGCCAUGAUGCCAAGUUCCUACUUUAAAGAACUGAAACUAGAGAAACAUCAAGAAAGCAGAUACCAAGACAAGUAGUUGAUGCUGGUGGAAUUUAGGGAGUUGGCAUUUGCUACAUGGGCACCAUUAUGCGGGCUUGGGAAUGCUUCAGGAGCUGGAGAAACCAAACUGCAGCAGCAGAGAGUAAGUUUCCUUUAGUGGCAAAUGGAGACAAUAGCUCUGGUUCUGUACACUAAGAAAAAAAAAGCAAAGGAAUGUGCCUGAACAUUCAGCAUGUUAGUCAUUGUAAGUUUAAGUUGUAAAUUCUUUUUCUCUGCUGUUGUUUGCGCUUGGCUUGUAUCACCACUGUCCUGUCUUCAAGCUGGAUGUAGCAUGUUUUUUGUUUAUGUCGGAUGAGGCACCCAUCAUAUUAUAASAAACGUCAUGAACAUUGUUUUUCUUCAAUCCUUGAAAGUCAAAAUGUGGUAGCAUAGAUAGUAAUAAGUUAGUACUGAAUGUGACAGGAAAGAAUUUUCUGGUUGCACAGUAUUUAUAGGAAAAACAAUGUUUUAUAUGUCACCUCAUAUACCUCCUCCCAGUCUCUUUUCCACUCCUAAGCAGAAGUAAUGCAUGAAAACUUUCUUCAGUAGUGUCCUCAGUUCUUCAUUUCCAGUUACAGCUAUUGGUUCUUUGUUGGUACUUUUUUCAAAUUUAGGUUGAGGUCCUCAUAAAACUUCUCUGCAUCCUCUGUAAUUGACACCAUCAUGCUGUCAUUUGUUUAAGUCAUCAAAUUUAGGCUAAAUCUGAGUUUUGGAAAUCUUUUUCCAGCCCUUCUAAGGAUGCUCCUUCCUUUCUGUCAGAGAAUUAUACUUCUCAUCCAGGUUUUC
Dromaius novaehollandiae (emu) is the source of this 1547-nucleotide long non-coding RNA. Lineage: Eukaryota; Metazoa; Chordata; Aves; Casuariiformes; Dromaiidae. The record is from Ensembl.